GCCCCUUUGUCUAGCAGAACCUUGAGGACCUGUGGAUUGAAUCACAAGUGUAGCGAGAAAGGAAAGAAACAGGAGAGAGCAGUUCUCAGCGCUGCCGCCGCCGAUUUGGUGCACUUCUUUAGCGAAAUAAGGGUUAUCAGUCAGUCACGGCAUCCUACAGCUACGAGUGAAACGUGAGGCAGCGGUCUGAGGUUAGCAGUUCCCCCGCAAACAGCAGCCCUUCACCGGCUCAGAUUUCGGCGACACACCGGCACGAGAAUUAGUGCCAUUUCAGUAAAAAUCGAUUACAGAGUACGGUUGAAUACGCUUAAAUUAAAAUGCUACUUUUAAAUGUUACAUUUUUUAUUUAAAAAAUGCUUGUUGAA
Sinocyclocheilus rhinocerous is the source of this 365-nucleotide long non-coding RNA. RefSeq lists it as uncharacterized. Lineage: Eukaryota; Metazoa; Chordata; Actinopteri; Cypriniformes; Cyprinidae. The transcript is spliced from 3 exons. The record is from RefSeq and is a predicted model, not a curated record.